This is a long non-coding RNA of Oncorhynchus tshawytscha (Chinook salmon), 3259 nucleotides long. The record is from Ensembl. Lineage: Eukaryota; Metazoa; Chordata; Actinopteri; Salmoniformes; Salmonidae.
CGUAAUUAAUAUUACCUGAUUGAGCUAAUCAUGUAAAUGUAAUUAAAUAGAACGUCGGGGCACCACAAAAUAAUAUUUAUAGAGCUGUUAUCUUCCGAAUAAACUCUUAAAGACCUAGUAAUAGUUUACAGUCAAUAUUAAUCGUCACCUUAUUUCAGUCUCAUCUGAAAGUUGUAAAUUCUUGGUUAUCUUCACGAACCCUGGCUAACAAGUUGAAUCAGCAACACAAAAUUGGGUUUAUUUAUUUACUAAAUACCUAACUAAUCACACAGAAUUACAUAUACACAGAAUGAAUCAUACCUUGAUUACAAAUUAUGUCAUAAAGGAAAACGUCCCUAGCAGACGGAACAGUAAUGACGGCUGGUUACACAAAGGAAAGUGGGUUGGGUUUGAGUGAAAGAGCAGGAAGACUGAGGAACAAAGGGGAGAAGCUGUGCUAUGGUAAAUACAGUCUCUUAUGCAUUCUAAAUUACCGCCCAUUUGGAAAAGGAAAAUGCAAUAAAUAUUUACUCUGAGCUGCGCUUCAAUAGGUUGGUGGUAGGUGGAUGGCCGUGCUGCCCAACAGAGUCCUUUGAAGAGUGUCUCUGGUGGUGAACGGGAAACGUUGUAAUGUCUUCGUUGGGUGGUAGACGGAAUACUCUGGCUGUCCUUUCCUAGCCCAUGUUUACAGCUGCUGUUGCUAACUCAAUGGCUAGGUUGUCUCACUUCUUUAGUGAAUAAGAGUUCAAAGUUCAUACCAUUCACAAUCAAAGCUCCCGCUGAGGUUGGCUUUGUUCUGUAGUUAACAUGUUAGUCCUUUUUAAUGUAUGGACCAUCGUCCUCACAUUCUCGGAACAGGAGGUUACAUUGUCGUCAAAGCUUCAUAUAGGAAGGGAGAGGAGGGCGUGUUUCAUUGGUUAUAAAUAAAUGUCUCUUCACAGGGCCACUGAGUCGGGCCUAAUUCACUCAUGAAAACCCAAUUCUCCAAUUUUAGAAGCUAAAAUCACAUUUCAUCCCAUCCCAAAUAAUUUCAUAUUCAAACAUUUAAAUUGCACAACAAUUCCAUGUGAAUCUGAUAACUAUAAUGUGUAGACUUUCCACUGUACAGUUUAUGUCAUCCUAUCAUUGAUGAGAAUGUCUCAGGUGACAACCGAACUGACAUCAUAUUCAUUAAGUAUCAACGCAUAUUUUCAACUCGUUGGAUUAAUUUCCCCCCACCUUCUGAUGUUCACAGAAUCUCUAUGUUAACCAGGGUAUUUUCAAUAGUCACAUCAGUAGGGUAGAGAGAGAGGGGGAGAGGCAUUUAUGACUGCCAUAAACCUACCCCCAGGCCAGCGUCAUGACAGGGGUAUGGAGAGAGAGAGAGAGAGAGAGAAGAGGGGUAUGGGGAGAGAGAGAGUAGAGGGCGAGCGAGAGGAGAGGGGUAGGGAGAGAGCGAGAGGAGAGGGGUAGGGAGAGAGAGAGAGGAGAGGGGUAGGGAGAGAGAGAGGUGUCCAUAUUGUAUGACUGUAGUUUGACAUUUGGGAAUGGGUUAUUAUUUUCAGUUGUUACUCAUGAAACAGAUGAGCUGUCAUCCUUACUGUGUGUGCGCGCGUGCAUGGUGUGUGUGUGUGUACCACGAGCAUCCAGUGUGGGAGCAGUCUCGGCUAUCACACGCUGUAUAACAAGGUACAACGAUGCUUCAUCACAAUCACUGUGACAUCUUAGAUUAGCCUUUUAUCAAAACAUGUACGUAGGUGGGCAUGUGUGUGUGUGUAUAGACAGCUGGGGGAAACUGUUUGACAUGAGCAAAUAGUCUGAGUAGAGAAGGAGUGGAGGAAGAGGGAUAAGGGGGCAGAGUAGCAUCCAUUACCCCAGUACGAAGCUGAGAGAGGAGGAAGAGGGAGGAGGGGACUGAGUAGCAUCCAUUACCUCUGAAUUGUGGAGCCUAACUCCAGGGGCUGAGGAUUUCUCUAGAAUAGUGGCCAAUUUGUUGAUGUAAAUAUUGAAGAGUGGAGGACUCAGAUUGCAACUCUGGUGAAGGCCCCGCCCCUGUUUAAAGAACUCUGUUCUUUUCUUGCCAAGUUGAUAAAGCAAGAGUACAUUUUGGUAUUAUUUUAGAACUCAUAGCAUUUAUAAUACUACAGAAAACCUUCCCCAGGUUACUGUUCACACUAAUGUCUCUGUAAUUGUUAGGGUCAAAUUUGUCUCCAUUCUUAAAGAUUGGGGUUAUGAGUCCUUCUAAUAGUUUUAAUAGAGUCGAUUGAGAUUUUGCGCUCGUGAGUUUGCUUUAAAAAAUAUUUUAUUUUAUUUUGAGGGCCUGAAGUUUCUAAUAGAGCUCCUGGUCAGUAAUUGGGGCGGCAGGGUAGCCUAGUGGUUAGAGCGUUGGACUAGUAACCGGAAGGUUGCAAGUUCAAACCCCCGAGCUGACAAGGUACAAAUCUGUCGUUCUGCCCCUGAACAGGCAGUUAACUCCUAGGCCGUCAUUGAAAAUAAGAAUUUGUUCUUAACUGACUUGCCUGGUUAAAUAAAGGUAAAAAAAAAUAAUUGGGGAGUCCAAUGGAUUUUGAUUGUCCUUUUAUAGCUCUUUCUGCACCAUUCCACUUCUCAUGAAUUUGCCGUUCUGCGUUCGUGUCAUUUUGUGUUUUAAAAUGGGUUGUGUUUAAAAGUGGGUUGUCAAUAUGUCACCAUUUUGUAUCGCUAAUUCCUCGUUUAGAUUAUUUUUUCUCCAAUAUUGCCAGAAGUUGUUUGUGUUUAUGGACUUCUCAAUUAGUGCCAGCUGCUUGCUGUUGUACUGUGCUUUUUUAUACAUUUAUAGAGUUUUAAAGGCUCACAGUAAUGAAGGUGUAAUUCACCAUUAUUUGGGUCUCUGUGGUAGAAUACGUUUUUUAAAAUAAUUUUACAAUCUGCAUCAAACCAGUUGUCAUCUGUGGUCUUUUUUGUAAAAAAAUAAAAAAUCCAUUUCAGUUGUGCUUAUUUUGCUGUUUGCCUGAAUAUAUAGUUGAUGUUUUGUACUGCUAGAUUGAUGCCUUCUUCACUGUGAGUGAAUGUGGUAUCCAGAAAGUUAUCUAAGAAACUCUGGAUAUUUGGGUUACAGGUUGAUUUCUGGUAUUCUUCUGUGCUGUUUUGGACCCAUCUGUAUGAAUGUCUGAUGUUGUACAGCUUACUGAACUGUGAAUGUCUGAUGUUGUACAGCUGACUGGGCUGUGAAUGUCUGGUGUUGUACAGCUGACUGGACUGUGCAUGUCUGAUGUUGUACAGCUGACUGGGCUCUGAUGUUGUACAGCUGACUGGGCUGUGA